Molecule: ribosomal RNA, 1370 nt
Filed under: uncultured bacterium
Lineage: Bacteria
Description: bacterial SSU rRNA
Rfam family: Bacterial small subunit ribosomal RNA
Source: RNAcentral
GAUGAACGCUGGCGGCGUGCCUAAUACAUGCAAGUCGAGCGAACGGACGAGAAGCUUGCUUCUCUGAUGUUAGCGGCGGACGGGUGAGUAACACGUGGAUAACCUACCUAUAAGACUGGGAUAACUUCGGGAAACCGGAGCUAAUACCGGAUAAUAUUUUGAACCGCAUGGUUCAAAAGUGAAAGACGGUCUUGCUGUCACUUAUAGAUGGAUCCGCGCUGCAUUAGCUAGUUGGUAAGGUAACGGCUUACCAAGGCAACGAUGCAUAGCCGACCUGAGAGGGUGAUCGGCCACACUGGAACUGAGACACGGUCCAGACUCCUACGGGAGGCAGCAGUAGGGAAUCUUCCGCAAUGGGCGAAAGCCUGACGGAGCAACGCCGCGUGAGUGAUGAAGGUCUUCGGAUCGUAAAACUCUGUUAUUAGGGAAGAACAUAUGUGUAAGUAACUGUGCACAUCUUGACGGUACCUAAUCAGAAAGCCACGGCUAACUACGUGCCAGCAGCCGCGGUAAUACGUAGGUGGCAAGCGUUAUCCGGAAUUAUUGGGCGUAAAGCGCGCGUAGCGGUUUUUUAGUCUGAUGUGAAAGCCCACGGCUCAACUGUGGAGGGUCAUUGGAAACUGGAAAACUUGAGUGCAGAAGAGGAAAGUGGAAUUCCAUGUGUAGCGGUGAAAUGCGCAGAGAUAUGGAGGAACACCAGUGGCGAAGGCGACUUUCUGGUCUGUAACUGACGCUGAUGUGCGAAAGCGUGGGGAUCAAACAGGAUUAGAUACCCUGGUAGUCCACGCCGUAAACGAUGAGUGCUAAGUGUUAGGGGGUUUCCGCCCCUUAGUGCUGCAGCUAACGCAUUAAGCACUCCGCCUGGGGAGUACGACCGCAAGGUUGAAACUCAAAGGAAUUGACGGGGACCCGCACAAGCGGUGGAGCAUGUGGUUUAAUUCGAAGCAACGCGAAGAACCUUACCAAAUCUUGACAUCCUUUGACAACUCUAGAGAUAGAGCCUUCCCCUUCGGGGGACAAAGUGACAGGUGGUGCAUGGUUGUCGUCAGCUCGUGUCGUGAGAUGUUGGGUUAAGUCCCGCAACGAGCGCAACCCUUAAGCUUAGUUGCCAUCAUUAAGUUGGGCACUCUAAGUUGACUGCCGGUGACAAACCGGAGGAAGGUGGGGAUGACGUCAAAUCAUCAUGCCCCUUAUGAUUUGGGCUACACACGUGCUACAAUGGACAAUACAAAGGGCAGCGAAACCGCGAGGUCAAGCAAAUCCCAUAAAGUUGUUCUCAGUUCGGAUUGUAGUCUGCAACUCGACUACAUGAAGCUGGAAUCGCUAGUAAUCGUAGAUCAGCAUGCUACGGUGAAUACGUUCCCGGGUCU